This 471-nucleotide ribosomal RNA is filed under the name uncultured bacterium. Its description in RNAcentral is "bacterial SSU rRNA". It matches the Rfam family "Bacterial small subunit ribosomal RNA", at positions 28 to 495 of the family's 1533-position model. The record is from RNAcentral.
GAUGAACGCUAGCGGCAGGCCUAACACAUGCAAGUCGAGGGGCAGCAUUGGUACUUGUACCAGAUGGCGACCGGCGCACGGGUGCGUAACGCGUAUGCAACCUACCUAUUACAUAGGGAUAGCCUCUGGAAACGGAGAUUAAUACCUAAUGGUAUCUAGAUAUUGCAUGAUAUUAAGAUUAAAGAUUUAUCGGUAAUAGAUGGGCAUGCGUGACAUUAGCUAGUUGGUAAGGUAACGGCUUACCAAGGCGACGAUGUCUAGGGGAUCUGAGAGGACUACCCCCCACACUGGUACUGAGACACGGACCAGACUCCUACGGGAGGCAGCAGUGAGGAAUAUUGGUCAAUGGAGGCAACUCUGAACCAGCCAUGCCGCGUGCAGGAUGACUGCCUAUGGGUUGUAAACUGCUUUUAUAUAGGAAGAAAAUUACCUACGAGUAGGUAACUGACGGUACUAUAAGAAUAAGGACCG